UGGGGAAUUUUGGACAAUGGGGGAAACCCUGAUCCAGCCAUCCCGCGUGUGCGAUGAAGGCCUUCGGGUUGUAAAGCACUUUUGGCAGGAAAGAAACGUCGCGGGUUAAUACCCCGCGAAACUGACGGUACCUGCAGAAUAAGCACCGGCUAACUACGUGCCAGCAGCCGCGGUAAUACGUAGGGUGCAAGCGUUAAUCGGAAUUACUGGGCGUAAAGCGUGCGCAGGCGGUUCGGAAAGAAAGAUGUGAAAUCCCAGAGCUUAACUUUGGAACUGCAUUUUUAACUACCGGGCUAGAGUGUGUCAGAGGGAGGUGGAAUUCCGCGUGUAGCAGUGAAAUGCGUAGAUAUGCGGAGGAACACCGAUGGCGAAGGCAGCCUCCUGGGAUAACACUGACGCUCAUGCACGAAAGCGUGGGGAGCAAACAGGAUUAGAUACCCUGGUAGUCCACGCCCUAAACGAUGUCAACUAGCUGUUGGGGCCUUCGGGCCUUGAUAGCGCAGCUAACGCGUGAAGUUGACCGCCUGGGGAGUACGGUCGCAAGAUUAAAACUCAAAUGAAUUGACGGGGUCAUAGCUG
This 579-nucleotide ribosomal RNA is filed under the name uncultured bacterium. RNAcentral describes it as "partial 16S ribosomal RNA". It matches the Rfam family "Bacterial small subunit ribosomal RNA", at positions 355 to 932 of the family's 1533-position model. The record is from RNAcentral.